GACGAACGCUGGCGGCGUGCUUAACACAUGCAAGGCGAACGGAAAGGCCGGGCUUUUGGGGGGUGCCCGCGCGGCGAACGGGUGAGUAACACGCGAGUAACCUGCCCUGGACUUUGGGCUAACGUCCGGAAACUGGGGCUACUCACGGCUAGGAGCUCCCGCCGCAUGGGGGGGGUUGGCAAGCUUCGCCCGUGGGGGAUGGCCUCGCGCCUUGUCAGCGUGUUGGGUGGGUUGUGGCUCACCACGGCUUUGACGGGUAGCCGGCCUGGGGGGGUGACCCGCCACAUUGGGACUUGGGUACGCCCCAGACUGCUCCGGGAGCCAGCAGUGGGGAGUAUUGCACACUGGGCCGAAGCCUGAUGCAGCAACGCCGGGUGCGGGAUGACGGCCUCCGGGUUGUAAACCGCUUUCUCCUGUGACGAAGCGUGAGUGACGGUAAUGGGUAAAGAAGCACCGGCUAACUACGUG
This 468-nucleotide ribosomal RNA is filed under the name uncultured bacterium. RNAcentral describes it as "partial 16S ribosomal RNA". It matches the Rfam family "Bacterial small subunit ribosomal RNA", at positions 28 to 507 of the family's 1533-position model. The record is from RNAcentral.